RNAcentral lists this long non-coding RNA (213 nucleotides) under Physcomitrium patens. RNAcentral describes it as "long non-coding RNA (PPAT_LNC007039)". The record is from RNAcentral. Lineage: Eukaryota; Viridiplantae; Streptophyta; Bryopsida; Funariales; Funariaceae.
UAUUUUUCUUCAUAUUUUGUCAAAAAUCCAUCACCUCCAACAUUUAAUCCAUCUAAUGUAACAUCCAUAAAUUUAUGCCCUAUCUUCCUUGGAUCUCUUAGAUUUGGUUGUGUCGAUGCUCCACUUAUCAUUUCUUCACAAUCACAUGGUAGUAGCAAAGUCACUAGUUUGACCUUCUUUGCUACUGAUUUAUACUUAGUUUCAACAUAUAUC